GUCUCUGGCUCAGGAUGAACGCUAGCUACAGGCUUAACACAUGCAAGUCGAGGGGCAGCAUGGUCUUAGCUUGCUAAGGCCGAUGGCGACCGGCGCACGGGUGAGUAACACGUAUCCAACCUGCCGUCUACUCUUGGACAGCCUUCUGAAAGGAAGAUUAAUACAAGAUGGCAUCAUGAGUCCGCAUGUUCACAUGAUUAAAGGUAUUCUGGUUAGACGAUGGGGG
RNAcentral lists this ribosomal RNA (226 nucleotides) under uncultured bacterium. RNAcentral's name for it is "partial 16S ribosomal RNA". It matches the Rfam family "Bacterial small subunit ribosomal RNA", at positions 15 to 231 of the family's 1533-position model. The record is from RNAcentral.